UUUACCUGAUUUCCUUCGGGGAUGAUUGUUCUGUGACUGAGUGGCGGACGGGUGAGUAACGCGUGGAUAACCUGCCCCACACAGGGGGAUAACAGUUGGAAACGACUGCUAAUACCGCAUAAGCGCACAGCACCGCAUGGUGCAGUGUGAAAAACUCCGGCGGUGUGAGAUGGAUCCGCGUCUGAUUAGCUUGUUGGCGGGGUAACGGCCCACCAAGGCGACGAUCAGUAGCCGGCCUGAGAGGGCGACCGGCCACAUUGGGACUGAGACACGGCCCAGACUCCUACGGGAGGCAGCAGUGGGGAAUAUUGCACAAUGGGGGAAACCCUGAUGCAGCGACGCCGCGUGAGCGAUGAAGUAUUUCGGUAUGUAAAACUCUAUCAGCAGGGAAGAUAAUGACGGUACCUGACUAAGAAGCUCCGGCUAAAUACGUGCCAGCAGCCGCGGUAAUACGUAUGGAGCAAGCGUUAUCCGGAUUUACUGGGUGUAAAG
Molecule: ribosomal RNA, 492 nt
Filed under: uncultured bacterium
Lineage: Bacteria
Description: bacterial SSU rRNA
Rfam family: Bacterial small subunit ribosomal RNA
Source: RNAcentral